UUCAAACUUCGAAUACUCACAAUAAGUAUGGCCAUGAAACAAGCGAGUGUGGUGUUCCAGUCGCCGUACGAGCUGGCCUUACCAACCAGAACGCUGUAAAAGAUGAAAUCGCCCAGACCUAAUUUCACGCCCUCUGUAACAAACAUCCUGCGACGGCUCCUCGACCCUGGUGACGUAUCUCGCUGAUGCUGUACCCUCCACUCGUAAGUGUCUCGGGGCUCCGGCUGCGGCGCGCUCCCUCCAAGCGUUAUCAAAACCUCCCUCACCGUCACCAUCUCCCCCGGAGUUAACGUUACCCUCCGAGUUCGAAGAUCCUAGGAUGAAUGCGUGUUGAUUUAUGACAAGUAACAAAAAAAAUAAAUUAAAAAACAAAAAUGUCAUUUCCUCCUCAUUAGUACAGAAUCAACUAUCCUAAGAAUGAUUAGUAGAGUUAUAUACAAAAUAAUACACUUAUUAUAUAUUAGUGUGUUAAUCAUAUAGAAUUGGAACAAGCACAUUUUUUUUAAUUUAUACAUAGAUAUGGUGAAUUAUAUAGAAGCUAGUGUGCCGAUACACAGACUUUACUUUAUUUAUUUUUUCUGUAUAUUUUUUAUUUAAUCUGUUGCUAUAUAUAUUCUGUGUAAAGCGUGUGCACGGACCAUGCGGCUGUAGAGGGCGCAGCUCGCGCUCACCUUCGACCGCUGCCAGCAUGUACAUCACCGUCGCUGGAAUAUAACCAAACGGCUUAUUGACAAAUACAUUCAAUAACUUCAAAUAAAAAGCUGUAACUACACAUAUGUAUAUUUUCAAUAACUCCUCCAAGUAAGGCAUCUGUUAACUAUAUAGUGUUAAUAUUAUAUAUUAUCAAAAAUAUAUCAUCGGGGUAGGUAUUGACAAAAGUUAUAAUCAUGUCAUUAAUUGACGGUCAUUAUAUAUAUGUGGCUAUGUUUGUGGGUAGCAUAAAAUGUUACAUACAUGAAUAAAUAAGUGCUGGGAAUAUCGGUUCAUUUCUCUCCUGAGCCGUCUCAACGAGUAUCCUCAGAGGUCCUUUUGGUGUGAGGACGGCUAUCAAAUCUGUUAACAUACAAACAUAAAUAUUAUGUUAAUAAAUAAUUAUGGAGACUGAA
Danaus plexippus (monarch butterfly) is the source of this 1106-nucleotide long non-coding RNA. RefSeq lists it as uncharacterized. Lineage: Eukaryota; Metazoa; Arthropoda; Insecta; Lepidoptera; Nymphalidae. The transcript has 2 exons. The record is from RefSeq and is a predicted model, not a curated record.